Pogona vitticeps (central bearded dragon) is the source of this 231-nucleotide non-coding RNA. NCBI's taxonomy places the organism in Eukaryota, Metazoa, Chordata, Lepidosauria, Squamata, Agamidae. The record is from RefSeq and is a predicted model, not a curated record.
AGGGAGAACCAGGUCUUGAUGGUUUUCCAGGAAAACCUGGUGUGGACGGCCAACAGGGUAUCAGAGGAAGUCCAGGCCAGCCUGGACUCAUAGGAUCCAAAGGAGAGAAGGGUGAAAUGGGACCUCCAGGAAAACCCGGCUCAGUGGUGCAGACUGAAGGUUUAAAAGGAGAGCAGGGCCCCCCUGGCCCACGAGGAUCCAUUGGCCCUCCCGGACCCCCAGGUAGCCCUG